Onychomys torridus (southern grasshopper mouse) is the source of this 508-nucleotide long non-coding RNA. RefSeq lists it as uncharacterized. The record is from RefSeq and is a predicted model, not a curated record. NCBI's taxonomy places the organism in Eukaryota, Metazoa, Chordata, Mammalia, Rodentia, Cricetidae. The transcript is spliced from 4 exons.
CAGAGAGCACCUCUUAAGAGGCAGGACCCAUACCAUGGAUUCUUGGUGAUGAUGGACACCAUGGUUACUUUCCAACAAGACAGAAAAGAGCGCCCAGUGAUGGAGGCUUCAGUGGAUAAUUAUAUUAGCAGGAAAAUAAUCAGCUUUCUAUCAAGUGGACUCUGGGCACAGCCCCAGGGAUCUCAGAGUCCGAAGGACCUGGAGAGCAGAAGAGGCUGGUGUGUGCCAGAGCAGCUUUGCCGGAAGGUGGUAGCACAAGUACCCCACUGGAAAUAACACUAAGGCAGAAGAAGCUCAAUUGCCAGGUGGUCGGUCACAAGUAAGGGAAGAGACAUUUUCUCCGUUUCUGGGCACAGAAUGGAAAGCCUCGUGUAUGCUAAGUGUACACUCUGCUCCUGGGCUGCUGCCCCAACAAAGGGAUUUUUUUAUGUGAGCUCAUCCUGGCAAGAAGCUCUUUUACCAUCCUUGACUUCCAGAUCUCCAGGGCAACUGCUGUUGGGACGUCAUA